ACUUUCGAUGGUAGGAUAGAGGCCUACCAUGGUGGUAACGGGUAACGGGGUGUUAGGGCACGACACCGGAGAGGGAGCCUGAGAAACGGCUACCACAUCCAAGGAUGGCAGCAGGCGCGCAAAUUACCCAAUCCCGACACGGGGAGGUAGUGACAAUAAAUAACAAUACGGGGUUCUUUCGGAUUUCGUAAUUGGAAUGAGUACAAUUUAAAUCUCUCAACGAGGAACAAUUGGAGGGCAAGUCUGGUGCCAGCAGCCGCGGUAAUUCCAGCUCCAAUAGCGUAUAUUAAAGUUGCUGCAGUUAAAAAGCUCGUAGUUGAAUUUCGGGACCAAUAUGUCGGUCGUGCCUCGGUACGUACUGGCAUCGUUGGUUUCUCCCUUCUGACGAACCAUGAUGUCAUUCAUUUGGUGUCGUGGGGAAUCAGGACUGUUACUUUGAAAAAAUUAGAGUGUUUAAAGCAGGCUCACGCUUGAAUACAUUAGCAUGGAAUAAUGAAAUAGGACGUUUGAUUCUAUUUUGUUGGUUUCUAGGAUCGACGUAAUGAUUAAUAGGGAUAGUUGGGGGCAUUAGUAUUCAAUUGUCAGAGGUGAAAUUCUUGGAUUUAUUGAAGACUAACUACUGCGAAAGCAUUUGCCAAGGAUGUUUUCAUUAAUCAAGAACGAAAGUUAGGGGAUCGAAGACGAUCAGAUACCGUCGUAGUCUUAACCAUAAACUAUGCCGACUAGGGAUCGGAUGAUGUUAAUUUUUUAAUGACUCAUUCGGCGCCUUACGGGAAACCAAAGUGUUUGGGUUC
This 794-nucleotide ribosomal RNA is filed under the name uncultured Glomus. RNAcentral describes it as "SSU rRNA". It matches the Rfam family "Eukaryotic small subunit ribosomal RNA", at positions 318 to 1114 of the family's 1831-position model. The record is from RNAcentral. Lineage: Eukaryota; Fungi; Glomeromycota; Glomeromycetes; Glomerales; Glomeraceae.